GUCCACGCUGUAAACGAUGUCAACUAGCUGCUUGUGUCUUCGCGACGUGGGUAGCGCAGCUAACGCAUUAAGUUGACCGCCUGGGGAGUACGGCCGCAAGGUUAAAACUCAAAUGAAUUGACGGGGGCCCCGCACAAGCGGUGGAGCAUGUGGUUUAAUUCGAUGCAACGCGAAGAACCUUACCAGGUCUUGACAUCCAGUGAACUUUCCAGAGAUGGAUUGGUGCCUUCGGGAACACUGAGACAGGUGCUGCAUGGCUGUCGU
RNAcentral lists this ribosomal RNA (264 nucleotides) under uncultured bacterium. RNAcentral describes it as "partial 16S ribosomal RNA". It matches the Rfam family "Bacterial small subunit ribosomal RNA", at positions 793 to 1055 of the family's 1533-position model. The record is from RNAcentral.